AGCGAACAUUGGCGGUAGGCUUAACACAUGCAAGUCGAGCGAGGCGUAAUAGUCGAGCGGCGAACGGGUGAGUAAUACAUGGGAAUCUACCCUGAAGAGGGGGAUAACGUUCAGAAAUGGACGCUAAUACCGCAUAAUCCACAUUGGGAGAGCGUUGCAGCGCUUUAGGAUGAGCCCAUGGCUGAUUAGCUAGUUGGUGAGGUAAUGGCUCACCAAGGCGACGAUCAGUAGCUGGUCUGAGAGGAUGAUCAGCCACACUGGAACUGAGACACGGUCCAGACUCCUACGGGAGGCAGCAGUGGGGAAUCUUGCGCAAUGGGGGCAACCCUGACGCAGCCAUACCGCGUGAGUGAUGAAGGUCUUCGGAUUGUAAAGCUCUUUCGGCGGGGACGACGAUGACGGUACCCGCAAAAGAAGUCACGGCUAACUUCGUGCCAGCAGCCGCCGUAA
This 450-nucleotide ribosomal RNA is filed under the name uncultured bacterium. Its description in RNAcentral is "partial 16S ribosomal RNA". It matches the Rfam family "Bacterial small subunit ribosomal RNA", at positions 29 to 523 of the family's 1533-position model. The record is from RNAcentral.